Strongylocentrotus purpuratus (purple sea urchin) is the source of this 472-nucleotide long non-coding RNA. RefSeq lists it as uncharacterized. The record is from RefSeq and is a predicted model, not a curated record. Lineage: Eukaryota; Metazoa; Echinodermata; Echinoidea; Camarodonta; Strongylocentrotidae. The transcript has 2 exons.
UCCACUUCCGUGCCUGUGAAGUUGUUUUAUGUCAAAAAUAACAAAAAUACUCAUUUUCCGGGACCCCGACUUUUGAUAUAAGACAUUUUUAUCGUAAUACUAUACACAUUUUGAUUUAUAAUGCUUUUUAGAUCUCAUUUAUCUAGUGAUAUGUGUUUUAUCAUAUACCCUUUCAUUCUAUCUUACAAUAAAUUCACACUUUGAAAGUCUGUAUUUUCAGAUUUACCAAAACUAUACCCCAGCUAAGAUAGGUUAUGGGGUGUGAUCGAGAGGACAAAAGUGCUUUAUGUUCGUUGGAGAGAGAGAGAGCUUGUUUUCAUUUUGGGAUAGUCUUUUAAAGAUAGGUUAUGGGGUGUGAUCGAGAGGACAAAAGUGCUUUAUGAUCGUUGGAGAGAGAGAGAGCCCAAGUUACUUCCAAUUACAGUUUCCUCGAACCUGUCAUUUUUGUUUGAUAUUUAACCUUAACUGCACG